This 196-nucleotide microRNA precursor is filed under the name Brachypodium distachyon (stiff brome). Its description in RNAcentral is "MIR1435 microRNA precursor family". It matches the Rfam family "MIR1435 microRNA precursor family". Lineage: Eukaryota; Viridiplantae; Streptophyta; Magnoliopsida; Poales; Poaceae. The record is from Rfam by way of RNAcentral.
UAGCUUUGUCAUAAGUCAAACUUCUUAAAGUUUAACCAAUUUUAUAGAAAAAUAUGACAUCUAGAAUAUCAAAUAAGUAUACUAUAAAAAUAUGUAUCUUGAUGGAUUUAAUAAAACUAAUUUAGAGUCAUAGAUGUUUGUAGUUUUUCUAUAAACUUGGUCAAAGUUUAAGAAGUUUGACUUAGGACAAAGCUAG